GAACUUUCGGAGAAAUCAGAAGGUUGAUCUAGCUCACAUAGGGACUGCUUUACGGCCCGUUGAAGUCGGCCAGGGCGUGCAAGUUACGUAUCUGGACACAUCAUUGGGUCUAUGAAACACGUUCGGCCGAGAUAUUCUGUUCCUGUAGACUUGCAGUCAACACUCUUGUGUACAGCAGAUUGUGCUUCACUUCCCAGAUGUGCCUCACUCAACAGCUCGAGGAAGAUGCGGAAGGCAUGUGGCAGUGGCAUUGUAGACAAGAAUGGGAAGAAUGUCUUCUACCAGCACCAAAAACAUCAAUAAUCUUUCUAGAACCAGAUUAUGAUUGAGCUCUUGUGUUACCGAAAACAGGAAUGAUCAGAAUUGGGUUGGCAAGUUGAUGCCUUGCGUUGAGGUUAAGGUUCAGUGGUGAGCAACACUUGGGCAAGUUAUCUUUGCCAACAACCAUCAAACCAGGAAUUGUUCCUUGGCCAGUUGUGUAUGCCCAGUGUAUGUAAUUUUUAGGACUUGUAAUAUAUCAGUUCCAUUUUUAUCAGAAAUGAUGGGAAGAGAAGAAGAAUUUUUACCUUUGAUGUUGAAAA
Physcomitrium patens is the source of this 581-nucleotide non-coding RNA. Lineage: Eukaryota; Viridiplantae; Streptophyta; Bryopsida; Funariales; Funariaceae. The record is from RefSeq and is a predicted model, not a curated record.